Molecule: long non-coding RNA, 350 nt
Organism: Tachysurus fulvidraco (yellow catfish)
Lineage: Eukaryota; Metazoa; Chordata; Actinopteri; Siluriformes; Bagridae
Exons: 3
Source: RefSeq, a predicted model, not a curated record
CUGACACACUACGUCAGACACGGCCACGUCUCCGGCUAAGUCUUCCAUGCUGGGCUCAGACUCCGCCUACAUCUGGAUCCUCUCUCUGAUUGUUUUCUCCUGUGUUCUUUUUGCUGCUCUGUUUCACUACCGGAGAACUGGAACCUUCUCAUCAUCUCUCUCUCAGUUCCCUGGAGAAUCCACGAUGAAGGAGUCACAAGAUCCACUCGUAGCAGCAGGAAACCCCGAGACACAUGCAGACAAAGAAAUCAUGGCCCCUGUUCCUGUCUGAAGUGACAGAAGAAAAGAGAGAUCGUGUGUGCAUGGGGGUGCACAAGUGUGUGUGUGUGUAUGUGUUUGGGUGUGGGUGC